Chroicocephalus ridibundus (black-headed gull) is the source of this 385-nucleotide non-coding RNA. NCBI's taxonomy places the organism in Eukaryota, Metazoa, Chordata, Aves, Charadriiformes, Laridae. The record is from the annotation of a RefSeq genome assembly.
GGCAGCGAGGCGCGAGCGGCGGAGCGGCGGGAUGCGGCGGUGCCGGGGCGCAGGGCUGGCGGGGCUGGCCGCGCUGCUGCUGGUGGCUUUGGGAAGAGCCCAGGUGCUGCAGGAGCCGUCGGCAGAGACCACCGAGGGCACCGGCAUCAACAUCACUUGCUCGCACCCCAAUAUACAGCCAACGGAGUUCAUCUACUGGUACCGUCAGCUCCCGGAACGAGGCCCUGCAUUGCUCCUGAGCACUCUCAAAGACUCGAAAGAGCUGCGGGACCCGCCGGGGCGGCUGUGGGUGUCGGCAGAGCGCCGCUCCAGCGCCCUGUGGCUCGCCCGGCCCCGGCGCGGGGACGCGGCGGUGUAUUACUGUGGCGCCCACCUCAUUCGUUAG